RNAcentral lists this ribosomal RNA (467 nucleotides) under uncultured bacterium. RNAcentral describes it as "partial 16S ribosomal RNA". It matches the Rfam family "Bacterial small subunit ribosomal RNA", at positions 28 to 507 of the family's 1533-position model. The record is from RNAcentral.
GACGAACGCUGGCGGCGUGCUUAACACAUGCAAGUCGAACGGAAAGGCCUCUUUCGGGGGGUACUCGAGUGGCGAACGGGUGAGUAACACGUGAGUAACCUGCCCUUGACUUUGGGAUAACUUCCGGAAACUGGGGCUAAUACCGGAUAGGAUCUCCUGCUGCAUUGUGGGGGUUGGAAAGUUUAGGCGGUUGGGGAUGGACUCGCGGCUUAUUAGCUUGUUGGUGGGGUAGUGGCUUACCAAGGCUUUGGAGGGUAGCCGGCCUGAGAGGGUGACCGGCAACACCGAGACUAGGAUACGGCCUAGACUCCUACGGUAGGCAGAAGUGGGGAAUAGUACACAAUGGGAGGAAGCCUGAUGCAGCAACGCCGUGUGCGAGAUGACGGCAUUGGUGUUGUAAGCCGCUUUCGCUCAUGACGAAGCUUUGUGUGACGGUAGUGGGUAAAGAAGCACCGGCUAACUACGUG